GACGAACGCUGGCGGCGUGCUUAACACAUGCAAGUCGAACGGUAAGGCCCUUCGGGGUACACGAGUGGCGAACGGGUGAGUAACACGUGGGGGAUCUACCCUGCACUUCGGGAUAAGCCUGGGAAACUGGGUCUAAUACCGGAUAGGACUCCGGACUGCAUGGUCUGGGGUGGAAAGCGUUUGCGGUGUGGGAUGGGUCCGCGGCCUAUCAGCUUGUUGGUGGGGUGAGGGCCUACCAAGGCGACGACGGGUAGCCGGCCUGAGAGGGGUGACCGGCCACACUGGGACUGAGAUACGGCCCAGACUCCUACGGGAGGCAGCAGUGGGGAAUAUUGCACAAUGGGCGCAAGCCUGAUGCAGCGACGCCGCGUGAGGGAUGACGGCCUUCGGGUUGUAAACCUCUUUCAGCAUCGACGAAGCGAAAGUGACGGUAGGUGCAGAAGAAGGACCGGCCAACUACGUGCCAGCCGCCGCCGUAA
RNAcentral lists this ribosomal RNA (479 nucleotides) under uncultured bacterium. Its description in RNAcentral is "partial 16S ribosomal RNA". It matches the Rfam family "Bacterial small subunit ribosomal RNA", at positions 28 to 523 of the family's 1533-position model. The record is from RNAcentral.